Cicer arietinum (chickpea) is the source of this 104-nucleotide non-coding RNA. NCBI's taxonomy places the organism in Eukaryota, Viridiplantae, Streptophyta, Magnoliopsida, Fabales, Fabaceae. The record is from Rfam.
GGGAUAUGAGGAGUGGUCGAGUCUCGCAGAAAAUAUGCGAGUUGGGUGUUCGCCCCAAGCCUGGUUACGACAAUUGGGCACUCUCCUUUAAUUAUUCUGAUCCC